AGUAUUGUGCCUGAUUAAAGGAUAACAUUGAUAGUGUUAAUUAUACAGGUCUCCCCUGUCCUUACUU
This 67-nucleotide transfer RNA is filed under the name Munidopsis verrilli. RNAcentral's name for it is "tRNA-Ile". Lineage: Eukaryota; Metazoa; Arthropoda; Malacostraca; Decapoda; Munidopsidae. The record is from RNAcentral.